Neofelis nebulosa (Clouded leopard) is the source of this 531-nucleotide long non-coding RNA. RefSeq lists it as uncharacterized. The record is from RefSeq and is a predicted model, not a curated record. Lineage: Eukaryota; Metazoa; Chordata; Mammalia; Carnivora; Felidae. The transcript has 3 exons.
CGGCAGUCUGGACCUGGCAGAGUUGAACUGCUGAUAUUGAUAAAAAGUGUAUGACAAGAAUGUCCAUAUUCUCCCUCUGGAACGAGCAGUGUGCAUCCAAAUCGUGGGUUGCUAUCCUCCUGUCCACAACCAAUCUGAGGAUUCCAGAAGGUAGUAUUUGAACAAGACAUAUUUUACUGAAGGACUCGUGGAUUGCGGGGUCCCACGACAUCACCUCAUCGAUGCAGUCGAUGGUUGGUUCCAGAUUCAGGCUCGUUUCCGGGAAGAAACCCUGACAGAAGUUGAGAAGCACGGGAGCUGCAUUCCGUUAGGACGUGAAUACAUGAAAUGCUCCUCUCACGACCUUCUAGAAGAAUGAGCUGGGACCCAGUUUCUGCGUCCUGCUGGAACCAGAGACGGAGAUAUUGCCCAGGUGUCUGAAAGCCUGCAUUGAGCUGAGCCUUAAGAGAGAAGUUUGGAAUUCAGUUUUGAGAGUAGACAGCCAGUCCAAGAAAGCCUUGUAAUUGGCUCUUAGAUUUCAGUUGUGAGAGA